GAUGAACGCUGGCGGCGUGCCUAAUACAUGCAAGUCGAGCGAACAGACGAGGAGCUUGCUCCUCUGACGUUAGCGGCGGACGGGUGAGUAACACGUGGAUAACCUACCUAUAAGACUGGGAUAACUUCGGGAAACCGGAGCUAAUACCGGAUAAUAUAUUGAACCGCAUGGUUCAAUGGUGAAAGACGGUUUUGCUGUCACUUAUAGAUGGAUCCGCGCCGCAUUAGCUAGUUGGUAAGGUAACGGCUUACCAAGGCAACGAUGCGUAGCCGACCUGAGAGGAUGAUCGGCCACACUGGAACUGAGACACGGUCCAGACUCCUACGGGAGGCAGCAGUAGGGAAUCUUCCGCAAUGGGCGAAAGCCUGACGGAGCAACGCCGCGUGAGUGAUGAAGGUCUUCGGAUCGUAAAACUCUGUUAUUAGGGAAGAACAAAUGUGUAAGUAACUAUGCACGUCUUGACGGUACCUAAUCAGAAAGCCACGGCUAACUACGUG
RNAcentral lists this ribosomal RNA (497 nucleotides) under uncultured bacterium. RNAcentral describes it as "partial 16S ribosomal RNA". It matches the Rfam family "Bacterial small subunit ribosomal RNA", at positions 28 to 507 of the family's 1533-position model. The record is from RNAcentral.